Molecule: long non-coding RNA, 584 nt
Organism: Sphaeramia orbicularis (orbiculate cardinalfish)
Lineage: Eukaryota; Metazoa; Chordata; Actinopteri; Kurtiformes; Apogonidae
Exons: 3
Source: RefSeq, a predicted model, not a curated record
CUGGGAAGACCUGCUCAAAUGGAACAGCUGCUGGACUCACCUGUUCAGGUCCACGUGGUGUCAGGUUGGUGGGACAGCCGAGCCGCUGUGCUGGUACUUUGGAGAUCCAACACCAGGGACACUGGAGACCAACAGGAGAUGACUAUAAAGACUGGGACCUGAAGUCUGGAUCUGCUGUGUGUCAACAUCUGGACUGUGGAUCAGCUGUGUCAGUCAACAGAACAUAUGGUUCUCCAGACAGACCUGUGUGGGUGGUCUCAGGUCUUUGUGUAAAGCUGACAUCUGGACCCGAGAACUGUGUUGGACUAGAUGGUUCCUCCAGUCGCUCUGCUGUGGACGUGGUGUGUUCAGAUCUGCUGCCUCAGCCCAACAUCUCCCUGUCUGACGGGGUCUUUGAGGUCUACCAGCAGGGGUUCCGGGUGCUGGUGGGCUCAGACCUCACCAUCACGUGCUCCGUCCGACCACAGUACCCAGGAGGCUCCUUCCAGCUGAUCUCCAACACCAAGAAGCCCCUGAACCUCACCCUGCCGGCUGUCAAUCACUCCGCCCACUUCCUGUUGUCUGCCAUGGGCCACGCCCACCGA